Molecule: long non-coding RNA, 1624 nt
Organism: Manacus vitellinus (golden-collared manakin)
Lineage: Eukaryota; Metazoa; Chordata; Aves; Passeriformes; Pipridae
Source: Ensembl
UAAAGAAGCAGUUACGUUUUACUGUUUGUCUUAUGUUUUUUGGGGUAUAGGAAGAUUAGGAAAGCAAAUCUUAAACCAAUGAAAACUUCUCUGAUUUGGAAUCAUAUUUUUUCGUUGAACAUUAUCCAAUUGCUAUAAAAGACAAUUUUAUAAAAAGCAAAAAAAAAAAAAAGAAAAUUAUCAGUGGAUUUCACAGAUGUAUAAGAUCCUUGUCAAAAAUGAAAUGCAUAAUUUGAUGUUUCAUAUUCAUGUGAUUAUGCAAUAUACCACAGCGUUAAAUCUGUAAGUAGCACUGCUGUUAACACGUAGCAUUCUGUAAACCUACCUCAGUAUGAAUAUGACCCAGUAUAAGGGUGGAGUUCAAUAUGUUCUAUAAGCAGGCAGAGUUUACAUCAUCUGACUGACUCAGGUAACUGGACAUUUCAGAUGGUCACAUGGAAGUGUUAUGCUUUCUGGGGCAUUUUAGUUGUACUUCAGAAUUGCUUAUUUGCAUGAGCUGAUGUCAGCUGACUGAAAUAAACAUUCAGCCUCAGCUAAAAUACUCAGCUAAAAUAUUAGCAAUUUAUGCUGAGGCCAAGUAGUGCUUUAAAUCUCCCGUGUCUGGGUGUGUGCCAUAACACUCAAAUACAUGUAUUCUGGUUUUCAGAAUCAAAUCCAUGGAGCAAUGGAAAUUUCUGAAGAUCACUUUACCAAAUAUAAAAAUGAUGGUGAAUUCAAAGUGUGUUUGACCAGGAAGAGUACCAUGACUACAUGUAUCGACUUUGCAGAAAAGAGUGUUAUUUUCUAGUUUGUCAGCUGAAAUAUCUGACUUUUGCUUUAGUAAACAUAUCAUCUGGUUUUUGCUUUAGUAUCUUUCAUGUAAGUGUCAUGGUUACACUGAAGAUGAGGACUACUUAAAUAAGUUCAGGCAGUGCCUAAUUGCAGGCAAAGUAUGAUUCAAAGCUUUUAUGGGUAAAAGCUAUGCCAUGGCAACUUUGCCAAUCACCUGUGUAUUGAUGUGCUCAUGCAGACCCACCAUUGAGGGUAUUUCUCAAGCACAACCUUCUGGUACCAGCGAACUAGAAAUAGGUUUAUGAACACUGUGGACAGUUGUUGGUCUGCUGAGUCAUGACAGAAAAUAUACAGUAGCAAGGGGUAGCUUACGUUCCACCAGUACAUAUUUCUAAUUUAUGUUUUUGUCACCCAAGAAGUCCGUGAUAAAAAACAUUUCUUGCACAAUGGAAUUGGCAUGGGAUUGUAUUAAUUUUUCUUUUUCUUGAUUGUAUUCCAACAAGCCUAGUAAAACUUUAAGAGAUCAGGGAUAAGUUUUAAAAAAAACUAAGAGCUUGCUCUUUUGUGAUGCCUAAGCAUAUCAAGUAAAAGGAAGUUAUACUCUCUGAAACCACAUGAAUAUAAUAAUGUCUUGUAACACAAUAUUCAGGAAAAGGUAUUUCUGUGCUAAUUGCUCCUCAUAUUCUCUUCUACAAAUUCAUCCCCUUUUUUUUCUUUUUAUAGCAGAUCUAGACAUUUGGAUCUUUAAAACCAAUUUAGUUAUGUAAAUGGCAGAUUGAAGUGCCUUUUUUUCAGAGUUUGAGCAAUGCUAGUUAUUUAUCAGUAUUCUGCCAAUACUGUCACAAGACUUUUC